Podarcis raffonei (Aeolian wall lizard) is the source of this 1353-nucleotide long non-coding RNA. RefSeq lists it as uncharacterized. The transcript is spliced from 5 exons. NCBI's taxonomy places the organism in Eukaryota, Metazoa, Chordata, Lepidosauria, Squamata, Lacertidae. The record is from RefSeq and is a predicted model, not a curated record.
UCUUACUUGCUUUUUCUCUGAACUGAAAAAAUCCCAAAUGCCGCAACCUUUUCUCAUAGGGAAGUUUCUCCAUUUUGGUUGCCCAUUUCUAUACCUUUUCCAACCCUCCAAUAUCCUGUUUGAGUACCAACAGCAUGCCAGUACCAUGACAAACAGUGCAGAAGUUAGAAGUUACGGCCUCAGAAUUGGAACCAAGUUUGCAGUCCCAGAGGGACAUUGGCAUUAGGAAGAACUGAGAAAACAACUGUAAAGAAAAGCAAGGAAAGCUGGAAUGGAAAGAGGACUGAGUGAACUCAGAAGGAUGUGGCUCAGGCAGGCAUUUAAAGUUUACUGCUGUUUGGAUCAUUAACGCAAAUUCUGAAGAUGUGGACAAGCAGGAAGCUGGACAAGCCACUCUGAAGAAGCAUUUAGGAAAGAUGGAAUCAUCAAGCAAGGCUGGCUGGUCAUUAACUACAUAAUCUCCUUAAAUUGUUCCUUAAGAUAAACUUAAAGACACUGGUUUGGAACCAGAGUCAAGCUGCAGUCCACUUACCUGGGAAUUCAAAAGUACUCAUUUCUGAGCAUCUGUGGUUAGGAUUUCACUGCAAAUAACUUGAAUUUAGGGUGUUGUACACCACCACCCCUUCAUGGAACAGCAGGGCCAUUGCUGCGUCCAUAGUCCUGGGGGUGGGCAAGACAAUGAGAAGGGGCUAAGUCCAUAGAGCUGUACUGCUGAUAGGCAGAUACUCAGACAAUAGAAAUACAAUCGGUAGAGAGGGCUCUGUGUGAUGUCAUUUCCCCUGCAUCUUCUAGAUGGAAAGGAGCAUACAGUACUUCCUGUUCGUCUCUCUCUGUCCUUUGACCAGUGUUGGAUUCAAACAUGCCUCCACUUGAUCCAACUUUAGGCACAUGCCCACACCCUCCCAAGUGUCCUAUUUUCCAGGGACGUCCCUGAUUGAGAGAAGCCAUCCUGAUUUCUGAUUUGAUCCCAGAAUGUCCCACUUUUCCUUAGGAUGUCCCUAGUUUCAUUGGAGAAAUGUCAGAGGGUAUGGAGUUUUCCGACCCCUGAGUAUCUGAAGGCAAUCCUGUAUAAGGAAGUUUUUUUAAAAAAUGUUAAAUGUUUUGUUAUGUUUUUAUUUAUGUUGGAAGCUACCCAGAGUGGCUGGGGCAAUCCAGUAAGAUAUGUGGGGUAUAAAUAGUCAAAUUAUCAUUAUGGAAUGGGAUGUCCCUAUUUUCAUCAGAGAAAUGUUGGAGGGUAUGCAUGCCUGAAGCUGGUUAUACUAUAAAUAUAGAUAUUUUGCCUGCAUAGUUUUUACUGCUGCCAUUACUACGAACCAGUGUACGAUUAUAAGUAAAUUAUAUUUUUUUAACUUA